CGGUCUAUAAUGCAGUCGAGCGGAUGAUGAAGAAGCUUGCUUCUUCUGAUUUAGCGGCGGACGGGUGAGUAACACGUGGGCAACCUGCCCUGUAGAUUGGGAUAACUCCGGGAAACCGGGGCUAAUACCGAAUAAUCCAUUUCCUCACAUGGGGGAAUGUUAAAAGACGGCUUCUCCCUGUCCCUACGGGAGGGGCCCCCGGCCCAUUACCUAUUUGGGGAGGUAACGGCUCACCAAGGCAACAAUGCUUACCCAACCUGAAAGGGUGAUCGGCCCCCCGGGGACUGAAACCCGGCCCAAACUCCUACGGGAGGCACCAUUAGGGAACCUUCCACAUGGGACAAAAUUCUGAUGGACCACCCCCCCGUGAGUGAAAAAGGUUUUCGGAUCGUAAAACUCUGUUGUGAGGGAGAAACAAGUACAAAAGUAACUGCUCGUACCUUGACGGUACCUCAUUAAAAGCCCCGGCUAACUACGUGCCACACCGCGGUAAUACGUAGGUGGCAGCGUUGUCCGGAAUAUUGGGCGUAAAGCGCGCGCAGGCGGUCCUUUAAUCUGAUGUGAAAGCCCACGGCUCACCGUGGAGGGUCAUUGGAACUGGGGGACUUGAGUGCAGAGAAGAAAGUGGAUUCCAGUGUACGUGAAUGCGUAGAGAUUUGAGGACACCAGUGCGAGGCGACUUCUGGUCUGUAACUGACGCUGAGACGCGA
This 710-nucleotide ribosomal RNA is filed under the name Psychrobacillus sp. RNAcentral's name for it is "bacterial SSU rRNA". It matches the Rfam family "Bacterial small subunit ribosomal RNA", at positions 45 to 756 of the family's 1533-position model. Lineage: Bacteria; Bacillati; Bacillota; Bacilli; Caryophanales; Bacillaceae. The record is from RNAcentral.